UGUGUCGCUUAAUGAGUCAGUUAUAGUUUAUCAACUUAUCAGCUUGGGUUAAGAACGAUUUAUGUUGAUUUGAACAGAGUUGGUGUUUAGCGAAUGGGUUGUUUGAAAUAGCGUAUGAUUUUGUGUUCAUUUUGUCUGUCAUGUUUGGUUUGGUUUGUUUUGUAUAUAUAUUUGUCUGAUCUUAAGUGUUUAUUUUCUGAUUGUAUUUGUAGAUGUCAGCUUCUGAAGAUAAUGGUGACUUCCUCGCAUAAGACGUUGAAGCAUAUAUAGAUCAAGGUGGGGGAAAGAAAAGAUCUG
RNAcentral lists this long non-coding RNA (297 nucleotides) under Brassica napus (rape). RNAcentral describes it as "long non-coding RNA (BNAP_LNC007801)". The record is from RNAcentral. Lineage: Eukaryota; Viridiplantae; Streptophyta; Magnoliopsida; Brassicales; Brassicaceae.